Molecule: non-coding RNA, 31 nt
Filed under: Homo sapiens (human)
Lineage: Eukaryota; Metazoa; Chordata; Mammalia; Primates; Hominidae
Source: RNAcentral
GAGGAGCUGGGACCUGCAAAGUGUAGGUGGU